UAAAAGGCUUGCUGCCUGAAGAUGAGCUCGCGUCUGAUUAGCUAGUAGGCGUGGUAAGAGCGCACCUAGGCGACGAUCAGUAGCUGGUCUGAGAGGAUGAUCAGCCACACUGGGACUGAGACACGGCCCAGACUCCUACGGGAGGCAGCAGUGGGGAAUUUUCCGCAAUGGGCGAAAGCCUGACGGAGCAAUACCGCGUGAGGGAGGAAGGCUCUUGGGUUGUAAACCUCUUUCCUCAAGGAAGAAAAAAAUGACGGUACUUGAGGAAUAAGCAUCGGCUAACUCCGUGCCAGCAGCCGCGGUAAUACGGAGGAUGCAAGCGUUAUCCGGAAUGAUUGGGCGUAAAGCGUCCGCAGGUGGCAAUGUAAGUCUGCUGUUAAAGAGUGAGGCUCAACCUCAUAAGAGCAGUGGAAACUACAUAGCUAGAGUGCGUUCGGGGCAGAGGGAAUUCCUGGUGUAGCGGUGAAAUGCGUAGAGAUCAGGAAGAACACCGGUGGCGAAAGCGCUCUGCUAGGCCGCAACUGACACUGAGGGACGAAAGCUAGGGGAGCGAAUGGGAUUAGAUACCCCAGUAGUCCUAGCCGUAAACGAUGGAUACUAGGCGUGGCUUGUAUCGACCCGAGCCGUGCCGGAGCUAACGCGUUAAGUAUCCCGCCUGGGGAGUACGCACGCAAGUGUGAAACUCAAAGGAAUUGACGGGGCCCCGCACAAGCGGUGGAGUAUGUGGUUUAAUUCGAUGCAACGCGAAGAACCUUACCAAGACUUGACAUGUCGCGAAUCCUCUUGAAAGGGAGGAGUGCCUUCGGGAGCGCGAACACAGGUGGUGCAUGGCUGUCGUCAGCUCGUGUCGUGAGAUGUUGGGUUAAGUCCCGCAACGAGCGCAACCCUCGUUUUUAGUUGCCAGCAUUAAGUUGGGCACUCUAGAGAGACUGCCGGUGACAAACCCGGAGGAAGGUGGGGAUGACGUCAAGUCAGCAUGCCCCUUACGUCUUGGGCUACACACGUACUACAAUGCUACGGACAAAGGGCAGCGAGCUAGCGAUAGCAAGCAAAUCUCAUAAACCGUGGCUCAGUUCAGAUCGCAGGCUGCAACUCGCCUGCGUGAAGGAGGAAUCGCUAGUAAUUGCAGGUCAGCAUACUGCAGUGAAUUCGUUCCCGGGCCUUGUACACACCGCCCGUCACACCAUGGAAGCUGGCAACGCCCGAAGUCAUUACUCCAACCAUUCGUGGGGGAGGAUGCCGAAGGCAGUGCUGGUGACUGGGGUGAAGUCGUAACAAGGUAGCCGUACCGGAAGGUGUGGCUGGAUCACCUCCUUUUAGGGAGACCUACCCAACUUUGAAAUCAAUUGCAAACAGUCAAUAGAGACAAAGAUGGUCUACUCUAGGUCGGUCGAGAUUGGUGAAGAACUUUCAAAGUAUUCUGUGUUCGGUAAAUAAAAAUGAUUGCAAAGAUCAAUAGGUAAAUUCAGCAAUUGACGUGAAUAACAGUCAAACUGCUGGAAAUACGCCAGCCAGAACCUUGAAAACUGCAUAGUAACGCGAAAAAUAGCAGGCAGUCAAAAAAGUCAAAAGUCAAAAGUCAAAAGAAGGACCCAAAGACGAAAGACAAAAGACUGCAGAUGUGAAACCAAA
This 1632-nucleotide ribosomal RNA is filed under the name Tolypothrix sp. PCC 7504. RNAcentral describes it as "bacterial SSU rRNA". The stretch from base 1 to 1317 matches the Rfam family "Bacterial small subunit ribosomal RNA", at positions 201 to 1533 of the family's 1533-position model. The record is from RNAcentral. Lineage: Bacteria; Bacillati; Cyanobacteriota; Cyanophyceae; Nostocales; Tolypothrichaceae.